GGGGCAUAGGUGGUCUGGGUGCAGAGUUUGCUGAUAUAUUUAGAAGAGCUUUUGCGUCUCGUGUAUUUCCACCUCAUGUCACGAGCAGAUUGGGGAUAAAGCACGUUAAGGGAAUGCUUCUUUUUGGACCUCCUGGUACAGGAAAAACCCUUAUGGCACGGCAAAUUGGAAAGAUGCUGAAUGGAAAGGAUCCAAAGAUCGUUAAUGGUCCUGAGGUGCUGAGCAAGUUUGUUGGUGAGACAGAAAAUAAUGUAAGAGACUUAUUUGCUGAUGCUGAGCAAGACCAGAGGACCCUUGGUAAG
Long non-coding RNA from Brassica napus (rape), 302 nucleotides. RefSeq lists it as uncharacterized. The record is from RefSeq and is a predicted model, not a curated record. NCBI's taxonomy places the organism in Eukaryota, Viridiplantae, Streptophyta, Magnoliopsida, Brassicales, Brassicaceae. The transcript is spliced from 3 exons.